CGGCGGACGGGUGAGUAACGCGUGGGUAACCUGCCCUAUACAGGGGGAUAACAGCUAGAAAUGGCUGCUAAUACCGCAUGAGCGCACAGCUCCGCAUGGAGCGGUGUGAAAAACUCCGGUGGUAUAGGAUGGACCCGCGUCCGAUUAGCUAGUUGGUGGGGUAAAGGCCCACCAAGGCGACGAUCGGUAGCCGACCUGAGAGGGUGACCGGCCACAUUGGGACUGAGACACGGCCCAAACUCCUACGGAAGGCAGCAG
RNAcentral lists this ribosomal RNA (258 nucleotides) under uncultured bacterium. RNAcentral's name for it is "partial 16S ribosomal RNA". It matches the Rfam family "Bacterial small subunit ribosomal RNA", at positions 96 to 354 of the family's 1533-position model. The record is from RNAcentral.